RNAcentral lists this long non-coding RNA (345 nucleotides) under Gadus morhua (Atlantic cod). RNAcentral describes it as "lncRNA (ENSGMOG00000033091.1)". Lineage: Eukaryota; Metazoa; Chordata; Actinopteri; Gadiformes; Gadidae. The record is from RNAcentral.
AAGGAAGCCAUCUUACACGAAUAAUAAGUGAGGUUCACAUUAAAACUGGUUGUAAACAAACGCAGACAUGUUGGACGUACCAAAACCGGAGUUUAUUGCUCUCAAGUACAACUUUUCAUCAAAAAAUCGUAAAGUGCGGUGCCAGGGUGAGGGUCGGAGCCGGAGGUAGAGGCAGCGGAGGUAGAGGCAGUGGAGGAAGUGGCAACGGAGGAUGGCCGGCGCAGCGCGUCAAAGACGGGGCACUCAGUUAUCUGUACACCAUGACCCCGGAGAUGUUUGAUCAUGUUGGUGGUACACCCGCCUUUGCACGAUAUAAUUGUUUUGCAAAUGUUGCACCGAGCCGAC